Clupea harengus (Atlantic herring) is the source of this 1670-nucleotide long non-coding RNA. The record is from Ensembl. NCBI's taxonomy places the organism in Eukaryota, Metazoa, Chordata, Actinopteri, Clupeiformes, Clupeidae.
CAGAUGUGAGGUUAAAGGUUAUGGGGUUAGGAGGGAGUAGAGAAGAUGGAAGAGAGUGGACGGUUAGUCCAAUGACAUUAGUUGACAGGAGAUAAUUCACUGUUAUUAGCUCCAUCUCUAGGCUAUUAGAGUGGAGGGUCACUGAUAUAAGUUGUCUGAUAGAUAACUUAGUAGUGAAUAACAGUCUGUAUCUACUAGUUUAGUGAGUAGAAAAUCGAGUCUAGUAGUACAGGCAAGCGCGGGAGCCAUUUUAGCUAGCUGACCUGCAUGAGCCUGCCUAGGCACAAUUGCAUGUUAAACAGUAGUUCACUGUGUAAAUGCUUGGACUUUGCCAAACUGAUUCGAUUGGACACCGGAGAGUUCGCUGUUCACUUGGAUAAGGUAGACAGAAGAAUUAGCUCGACAGAACAGCCAAGAGCUCACCAGUGUGUGCCAGGAGCAACGUGGCUGCUCGCUUCUACUAUGAUACCAACAACUCGAUGGAACUCCGCCACCAUUCCACUGCAACAGGGCCCCAUCCAAAUGCUGUCAGUCUCACAGGCGGUUUAUGAAUGGAGAUUGGCGCAUCCAUUCAUGCCACGUGGAGAGAUGAAGUGGAAAUAGAGAAGUUUCAUUGAAAGGCUUUUUGCUUUCAGCCGGAUGGUGUUUUAAGUAGAGGGCAAAUUAGCCGUCAAUGUGGCACGUAUAGCGGCACACACAGACACACACACACACACACACACAGUAAUAUGUUUGUGUGCCUUCAUGGAAGUGGGGAAAUGGGUGGACUGCAUGGAGCUGCCAAGAGACACUUCACAAAUACGAGGAAAAAUCCAGCGUAUUCAGGAUUUUUUUUUACACGCUGUGGGGAAUAAUCAGUGUUCGCACAGAGAGCUUAAAGCGCAAAUGUAUACUUCCCACAGCAGCAUUAUCAUCACUAUGGCCAUCAUCAUCAUCAUUUUUAUGGAUGACAACCUCUACAACUACGCAUCUCUAACCCUUGAUUACAUGCCACUUGCAUUCCAGAAGAUCCUAAUAUCAGUGAAUAAUUUAUUUUUAUUUUUGUUUUUGUUUUUUGAUGCGUUAUGGAAUACAGACAUAAGUUGUAAUUAUUGUAAUCAUAAAUACAUGAUGGUAUGAAGAGGUGUGGAGGUUUCACUGAAUUUAAUUCUAAUAGAGAACUGUGCUGUCGCUCCUCGUCUGCAUGGGACUGGAGAAUUUACCCCUUACUUCCGGGCAAACAUAAACAAGGUGGCGAGGGAGAGCCAAUCAAAAUACAUAUCUCCCAUUCACCACGGUCUGCCCCCUCGGUGACAGCUACCCCCCAGCUUUUCAUAUGGUAAGGCAGAGAUGUGGGAGUUAGUCUCUGAAGAGCGUCGAUUAAAUGAGAUGUGCACACAAUGAGCACAAACAAUGGCCGCCAGCGGGUCUGAGAGCUCUCUCAGCUCUGCAUAUGUAAUGCCAGUCUGAGUGCAUCAAAUGCCAGGCGCAUUAAUGCCGGGGAUGGGGGCGCGUUGGCAGGGGGCAUCCAGACUUCCCUCCCCCCAUCCCUGAGUGGACCUGGCCUUUGGUCACCCUGGAAAUGAGGUGUGUUUGUGUCUAUGUUCAUGCACAUGUGUCUGUGUGUGUGUGUGUGUGUGUGUGUGUGUGUGUGUGUGUGUGUGUGUGUGUGUGUGUGUGUGUGUGUGUGU